GGGGCUGACUUGGAUUUCGACAGAUUUCUUGUCGCACAGAUAGCAUGCCAAGUGCUGCUUGUAAAACAGCAACAAAAAUAACUGUAAACAACACAGAUUACGCUCCAGCUUACGCUAAAGCUGCGUGAGUUAAUCUCCUUUUGGAGCUGGACGAUUAGAAUUUCUAGCGUUUUAAUCACUCCAUAACCUUAAGCUAGACGCUUUUAAAAGGUGGUUCGCCUUUUAAACUAAGAAACAAGAACUCUUGAAACUACCUCAAGGUUUUAGAAAGUUGGACCAGAGCUAGUUUUAAGGCUAAAAACUAACCAAUUUUCUAAGCAUUGUAGAAGUUUGUGUUUAGGGCAAGAUUUUUGGACUGGGGUUCGAUUCCCCACAGCUCCACCA
RNAcentral lists this transfer-messenger RNA (384 nucleotides) under Helicobacter pylori. RNAcentral's name for it is "Standard tmRNA". It matches the Rfam family "transfer-messenger RNA". From Rfam's summary of the family: Bacterial tmRNA, also known as 10Sa RNA or SsrA, is named for its dual tRNA and mRNA-like properties. Its role is to liberate the mRNA from a stalled ribosome. Lineage: Bacteria; Pseudomonadati; Campylobacterota; Epsilonproteobacteria; Campylobacterales; Helicobacteraceae. The record is from RNAcentral. RNAcentral also lists the same sequence under 1 other name.